CUCCCGGUAGCUCAAAUCGGCAGAGCGAGCGGUGCGCACCUGAAAACAGGAGAGCUUGGUUGUGGGUUCGAAUCCCACCCGGGGGAC
RNAcentral lists this transfer RNA (87 nucleotides) under Gordonia phage WilliamBoone. Its description in RNAcentral is "tRNA-Ala". It matches the Rfam family "tRNA". From Rfam's summary of the family: Transfer RNA (tRNA) molecules are approximately 80 nucleotides in length. Their secondary structure includes four short double-helical elements and three loops (D, anti-codon, and T loops). Further hydrogen bonds mediate the characteristic L-shaped molecular structure. tRNAs have two regions of fundamental functional importance: the anti-codon, which is responsible for specific mRNA codon recognition, and the 3' end, to which the tRNAs corresponding amino acid is attached (by aminoacyl-tRNA synthetases). tRNAs cope with the degeneracy of the genetic code in two manners: having more than one tRNA (with a specific anti-codon) for a particular amino acid; and 'wobble' base-pairing, i.e. permitting non-standard base-pairing at the 3rd anti-codon position. The record is from RNAcentral. Lineage: Duplodnaviria; Heunggongvirae; Uroviricota; Caudoviricetes.